This 60-nucleotide transfer RNA is filed under the name Proasellus cavaticus. RNAcentral describes it as "transfert RNA-Q(CAA)". The record is from RNAcentral. Lineage: Eukaryota; Metazoa; Arthropoda; Malacostraca; Isopoda; Asellidae.
UAUCUUUAAGUGUUGCGCACGUAAACUUUUGAUGUUUAAAGUAGAUGUAUCUAUAGGUAG